This 253-nucleotide ribosomal RNA is filed under the name uncultured bacterium. Its description in RNAcentral is "partial 16S ribosomal RNA". It matches the Rfam family "Bacterial small subunit ribosomal RNA", at positions 524 to 776 of the family's 1533-position model. The record is from RNAcentral.
UACGAAGGGUGCAAGCGUUACUCGGAAUUACUGGGCGUAAAGCGCGUGUAGGUGGCCACGCAAGUCAGGUGUGAAAGCCCAGGGCUCAACCCUGGAAGUGCACAUGAUACUACGUGGCUGGAGUACUGAAGAGGAGAGCGGAAUUCCCGGUGUAGAGGUGAAAUUCGUAGAUAUCGGGAGGAACACCAGUGGCGAAGGCGGCUCUCUGGGCAGAUACUGACACUGAGACGCGAAAGCGUGGGUAGCAAACAGG